GCUCUUUUGUCAGGGAAGAAACAGCAGCUCUAACACAGUCUGCGAAUGACGGUACCUGAAGAAUAAGCACCGGCUAACUACGUGCCAGCAGCCGCGGUAAUACGUAGGGUGCGAGCGUUAAUCGGAAUUACUGGGCGUAAAGCGUGCGCAGGCGGUUAUACAAGACAGGCGUGAAAUCCCCGGGCUUAACCUGGGAAUGGCGUCUGUGACUGUAUAGCU
This 219-nucleotide ribosomal RNA is filed under the name uncultured beta proteobacterium. Its description in RNAcentral is "partial 16S ribosomal RNA". It matches the Rfam family "Bacterial small subunit ribosomal RNA", at positions 430 to 642 of the family's 1533-position model. Lineage: Bacteria; Pseudomonadati; Pseudomonadota; Betaproteobacteria. The record is from RNAcentral.